This 253-nucleotide ribosomal RNA is filed under the name uncultured bacterium. Its description in RNAcentral is "partial 16S ribosomal RNA". It matches the Rfam family "Bacterial small subunit ribosomal RNA", at positions 524 to 776 of the family's 1533-position model. The record is from RNAcentral.
UACGAAGGGGGCUAGCGUUGCUCGGAAUUACUGGGCGUAAAGGGCGCGUAGGCGGCACUGUUAGUCAGGCGUGAAAGUCCUGGGCUCAACCUGGGAACUGCGCUUGAUACGGCAGAGCUAGAGGAUGGAAGAGGGUCGCGGAAUUCCCAGUGUAGAGGUGAAAUUCGUAGAUAUUGGGAAGAACACCGGUGGCGAAGGCGGGUCUCUGGGCCGAUACUGACGCUGAGGAGCGAAAGCGUGGGGAGCGAACAGG